RNAcentral lists this ribosomal RNA (825 nucleotides) under uncultured bacterium. RNAcentral's name for it is "bacterial SSU rRNA". It matches the Rfam family "Bacterial small subunit ribosomal RNA", at positions 62 to 849 of the family's 1533-position model. The record is from RNAcentral.
UCGAACGAGUUCUCGUUGAUGAUCGGUGCUUGCACUGAGAUUCAACAUGGCACUGAGUGGCGGACGGGUGAGUAACACGUGGGUAACCUGCCCUUAAGUGGGGGAUAACAUUUGGAAACAGAUGCUAAUACCGCAUAGAUCCAAGAACCGCAUGGUUCUUGGCUGAAAGAUGGCGUAAGCUAUCGCUUUUGGAUGGACCCGCGGCGUAUUAGCUAGUUGGUGAGGUAAUGGCUCACCAAGGCGAUGAUACGUAGCCGAACUGAGAGGUUGAUCGGCCACAUUGGGACUGAGACACGGCCCAAACUCCUACGGGAGGCAGCAGUAGGGAAUCUUCCACAAUGGACGCAAGUCUGAUGGAGCAACGCCGCGUGAGUGAAGAAGGCUUUCGGGUCGUAAAACUCUGUUGUUGGAGAAGAAUGGUCGGCAGAGUAACUGUUGUCGGCGUGACGGUAUCCAACCAGAAAGCCACGGCUAACUACGUGCCAGCAGCCGCGGUAAUACGUAGGUGGCAAGCGUUAUCCGGAUUUAUUGGGCGUAAAGCGAGCGCAGGCGGUUUUUUAAGUCUGAUGUGAAAGCCCUCGGCUUAACCGAGGAAGCGCAUCGGAAACUGGGAAACUUGAGUGCAGAAGAGGACAGUGGAACUCCAUGUGUAGCGGUGAAAUGCGUAGAUAUAUGGAAGAACACCAGUGGCGAAGGCGGCUGUCUGGUCUGUAACUGACGCUGAGGCUCGAAAGCAUGGGUAGCGAACAGGAUUAGAUACCCUGGUAGUCCAUGCCGUAAACGAUGAAUGCUAGGUGUUGGAGGGUUUCCGCCCUUCAGUGCCGC